Molecule: long non-coding RNA, 786 nt
Organism: Daphnia pulicaria
Lineage: Eukaryota; Metazoa; Arthropoda; Branchiopoda; Diplostraca; Daphniidae
Exons: 5
Source: RefSeq, a predicted model, not a curated record
CGUUUGGGCAGUUUGGUGUUGUGUCGGCAUUCCAUUUGCUUACGCAGUGGUUUAGUCUAUUGUGGCCGCAUCUAAGUCUGAGUAGUGCGACUUGGAUUCUUCUGUUAUUGUGUCUAAACCACGGGAUUGGCUUCAUGUUGGUUCGGUGUAAAACCGCUAGGUUUGUGAGCUUUUCAGAGAUGUUUGGUGUGUAUUCCAACACCAGUCUGUCAGGGUCUGUUCGAGUUCUGUUGGCAAGUUCGUCUGCGACUUCAUUUCCAUGUAUGCCAGCAUGACUAGGAAUCCAUACGAAGUGUGCUGGAUUCCCAUUUGAAGUUGGAUAUGGCCUGUAUUGCUGAUUUGGAGUCUGUGAGAAUAGUGAUAACUGGCCAGUCGAGUGGUUUAGGUAUGUAAAAGGCACAGGAGGAAAUGUUUGUGAGUUCGCAGCAUGAACCAUCUGUGUAGAUGGUUAGGUUAUCUGUGGGUUCAUUUUCCAUCAGCUUUCUAAAUAUUUCUUGGGUUCCAAGGGGCUAUAGGCUCUAUCCAGGGAUUGUAGAUCGGCAUUAGGGAGAAACAUUCUUCGGAGUUGAUACGCAUCUUAUUUAAAUGGGGGAUUACUGCCGGUAUGCUUCUGGGUUUCCAGGUUUCAAUGUUGUUCAGUGUAUUUUGGAUUGUGGAGUAGGCUGGGUUCCAUGGCUUGGUGUUGAGUUUGUUUAGGUAUCUUGAUGCUAAGAGAUCCCACCUAUCUUUGAUUGAGGUUAGUCCUGUUUCAAGGUAGAUAAGGGGGGUCGGAGUAGACUUGAGGGC